GAUGAACGCUGGCGGUAUGCUUAACACAUGCAAGUCGAACGGACUCUUCGGAGUUAGUGGCGGACGGGUGAGUAACGCGUGAGAAUCUGGCUUUGGGUUCGGGACAACCACUGGAAACGGUGGCUAAUACCGGAUGUGCCGAGAGGUAAAAGAGAAAUUGCCUGAAGACGAGCUCGCGUCUGAUUAGCUAGUUGGUGAGGUAAAGGCUCACCAAGGCAGCGAUCAGUAGCUGGUCUGAGAGGAUGACCAGCCACACUGGGACUGAGACACGGCCCAGACUCCACGGGGAGGCAGAGGGGGGAAUUUUCCGCAAUGGGCGAAAGCCUGACGGAGCAAUACCGCGUGAGGGAAGAAGGCUCUUGGGUUGCAAACCUCUUUUCUUAGGGAAGAACAAAAUGACGGUACCUAAGGAAUCAGCAUCGGCUAACUCCGUG
RNAcentral lists this ribosomal RNA (434 nucleotides) under uncultured bacterium. RNAcentral's name for it is "partial 16S ribosomal RNA". It matches the Rfam family "Bacterial small subunit ribosomal RNA", at positions 28 to 507 of the family's 1533-position model. The record is from RNAcentral.